This 86-nucleotide transfer RNA is filed under the name Candidatus Wolfebacteria bacterium RIFCSPLOWO2_01_FULL_38_11. RNAcentral describes it as "tRNA-Leu". It matches the Rfam family "tRNA". Rfam says of the family: Transfer RNA (tRNA) molecules are approximately 80 nucleotides in length. Lineage: Bacteria; Candidatus Wolfeibacteriota. The record is from RNAcentral.
GGGCGGGUGGUGAAAUGGCAAACACGUAGGCUUCAGGAGCCUAUGGCCGAAAGGCUUUGAGGGUUCAAGUCCCUCCUCGCCCACCA